Non-coding RNA from Pelobates cultripes (western spadefoot toad), 160 nucleotides. The record is from the annotation of a GenBank genome assembly. Lineage: Eukaryota; Metazoa; Chordata; Amphibia; Anura; Pelobatidae.
AUCGCUUCUCUGUUUUUUGGCUAAGAUCAAGUGUAGUGUCGGCUCUUAUCAGUUUAAUAUCUCUGCUCUGCGCACUCCAUUUUUUUUUUAACUGUAUGAAGUGCAACAGCACAAAUGAACAAGUGUUGCAACUCAAUACUGCAGUAUGCCCAUAUAAAUU